RNAcentral lists this ribosomal RNA (1107 nucleotides) under Triticum aestivum (bread wheat). RNAcentral's name for it is "partial small subunit ribosomal RNA". Lineage: Eukaryota; Viridiplantae; Streptophyta; Magnoliopsida; Poales; Poaceae. The record is from RNAcentral.
AUGGCGAGGACGUCGUCGUCGCCGACGGCGACGAGGCUGCCGCUGCUGCUUGUGCUGCUGUCGUCGCUGGCCUUGCAGGCGGCGGCGCAGAAGUACAAUGCGGUGUACAGCUUCGGCGACUCGAUCACGGACACGGGGAACCUGUGCACCAACGGGCGGCCCUCGGCGAUCACCUUCACGCAGCCGCCCUACGGGGAGACCUACUUCGGGAGCCCCACCUGCCGCUGCUCCGACGGCCGCGUCAUCGUCGACUUCCUCAGCACCAAGUACGGCCUCCCCUUCCUGCCCCCCUCCAAGUCCACCUCCGCCGACUUCAAAAAGGGCGCCAACAUGGCCAUCACCGGCGCCACCGCCAUGGACGCCCCCUUCUUCCGCUCCCUCGGCCUCUCCGACAAGAUCUGGAACAACGGGCCCAUCAGCUUCCAGCUCCAGUGGUUCCAGACCAUCACCUCCUCCGUCUGCGGCAGCAGCUGCAAGAGCUACCUGGCGAACUCGCUCUUCAUCUUCGGGGAGUUCGGGGGGAACGACUACAACGCGAUGCUGUUCGGCAACUACAACACGGACCAGGCGAGCACGUACGCGCCGCAGAUCGUGGACACCAUCGGCGCCGGCGUGGAGAAGCUGGUCGCGAUGGGGGCCGUGGACGUGGUGGUGCCGGGGGUGCUCCCCAUCGGCUGCUUCCCCAUCUACCUCACCAUCUACGGCACCUCCAGCGCCGCCGACUACGACGCCCUCGGCUGCCUCAAGAAGUUCAACGACCUCUCCACGUACCACAACAGCCUGCUGCAGGCCAAGGUGUCCGCCCUCCAGGCCAAGUACAAGUCGGCGCGCAUCAUGUACGCCGACUUCUACGCCGGGGUCUACGACAUGGUCCGGAGCCCCAGCAAAUACGGGUUCAGCUCGGUGUUUGAGGCGUGCUGCGGGUCGGGGGGAGGCAAGUACAACUACGCCAACAGCGCGCGGUGCGGCAUGUCCGGCGCCUCCGCCUGCGCCAGCCCGGCGUCCCACCUCAGCUGGGACGGCAUCCACCUCACCGAGGCCGCCUACAAGCAGAUCACCGACGGCUGGCUCAACGGCGCCUUCUGCCACCCAGGCAUCACCCACUAG